Molecule: ribosomal RNA, 465 nt
Filed under: uncultured bacterium
Lineage: Bacteria
Description: partial 16S ribosomal RNA
Rfam family: Bacterial small subunit ribosomal RNA
Source: RNAcentral
GACGAACGCUGGCGGCGUGCUUAACACAUGCAAGUCGAACGGAAAGGCCCCUUUGGGGGUACUCGAGUGGCGAACGGGUGAGUAACACGUGAGUAACCUGCCCUUGACUUCGGGAUAACUUCAGGAAACUGGGGCUAAUACCGGAUAGGAAUCCUUGCUGCAUGGUGGGGGUUGGAAAGCUUCGGCGGUUUUGGAUGGACUCGCGGCUUAUCAGCUUGUUGGUGGGGUAGUGGCUUACCAAGGCUUUGACGGGUAGCCGGCCUGAGAGGGCGACCGGCCACAUUGGGACAGAGAUACGGCCCAGACUCCUACGGGAGGCAGCAGUGGGGAAUAUUGCACAAUGGGCGGAAGCCUGAUGCAGCAACGCCGCGUGCGGGAUGACGGCCUUCGGGUUGUAAACCGCUUUCAGCAGGGGCGAAGCUUGUGGUGACGGUACCUGCAGAAGAAGCACCGGCUAACUACGUG